RNAcentral lists this transfer RNA (53 nucleotides) under Plagiorhynchus transversus. RNAcentral's name for it is "tRNA-Ala". The record is from RNAcentral. Lineage: Eukaryota; Metazoa; Acanthocephala; Palaeacanthocephala; Polymorphida; Plagiorhynchidae.
GACUCUGUAGGUUAUAAAAACUGCGUAAAUUGCUUUUACGAGAAGGGGAGUUG